This 1581-nucleotide long non-coding RNA is filed under the name Fragaria vesca (wild strawberry). Its description in RNAcentral is "long non-coding RNA (FVES_LNC002681)". The record is from RNAcentral. Lineage: Eukaryota; Viridiplantae; Streptophyta; Magnoliopsida; Rosales; Rosaceae.
GUUUAGCCGACGAAAAACAUGUCGUCGGUUUUUUUCCCAGACUUUAGCCGACGAAACAAUUAAGAUAUUCGUCGGCUAAAGUCUGUAAUAAAAAAAAUUUUCCAGACUAUAGCCGACGAAAUAUAGUAUGUUUCGUCGGCUAAACCUUAUAAAAAAAUUUAAAAAAAUAACUAUAGCCGACGAAAUAUAGUCUGUUUCGUCGGCUAAACCUUAUAAAAAAUUUUAAAAAAUAACUAUAGCCGACGAAAUAUGCCAUAAUUCGUCGGCUAAACCUUAUAAAAAAAUUUUAAAAAUAACUAUAGCCGACGAAAUAUGCCAUAAUUCGUCGGCUAAACCUUAUAAAAAAAAAUUUAAAAAUACUAUAGCCGACGAAUAAACCUUUAAAUAUCGUCGGCUAAACCUUUAAAUAUCGUCGGCUAAAGUUGCUGGUUUUUGAAAAAAAAAACUGCAGAAACUUUCGGCCACCUCCAAUCACCACCAAAAUUUGACAUAAUCUUCUUCUCAACAUUUCGAACAACUUUCUAGAAGAAGUCAAAGCCCAAUUCUAAGCCUAAAUAGGUCAAUUGAAUCAAAAUAUAAAAAUCCCCAAUUUUAAAUCCUAAAAACUUCAAAUCUUCGAUUCUCCUCACACACACCAAAUCGAGCUACCAAAUUCUAGGGGAAUGUAGUACUAAUCAAACUCAACUUAUCCAUAUAUAGAACUCACCAAAUGGUGACCUGAGGAAGGAGAAAUUCGAUCGACACCGAAUCCGAACCGGCGGAGUUUUGGAGCUCGAUUUAUCUCUCACGGCGGCGCCACUCGAUGCACCACCUAUCCAGCAAUGAAGUAGAGACAACGGCGAAACUUUUGGGACAAGUGUGGCGGUCUCCAGUGGCUUGACGGCGGAGCUAGGCCGAGAAGAAAAUCUGGCAUGCGAAAUAGACUUCUUACCAUCCACCUUCGGUAAUAUAAAGAACUUUAGCCGACGAAAAUAAAGCUCUUUUGAAAAUUUUGAAAAUUUUGGUUGACCGCCAAAAAAUUUUGGUUGAAAAUUUUGAAAAUUUUAGACUUUAGCCGACGACUUUUCAUAUAUUUUCGUCGGCUAAAGUCCUUUGAAAAUUUUCCUCCAAAUUUGGUUUACCGCCCAAAAAUUUUUGACCUUAGCCGACAACUUUUUUAAUAUCUCGUUGGCAAAAGUCUAUAAAUUCACGAAAACGCUCAUAUCUCCCUCUAUAUUACGUAGUUUGAUCAAACCUUCCACACGAAAAAUUUUCACGUAGAUGAGACGCAACCGCCUAUAUAAAAAUUUUGAGACAUUUGCCUUCCGACGAUAGGGCUCCCCAUAGGGAAUAAUAACGGUAAAUAGGGUUGACCGCUACUAUCGGCACCGAGACUUUACCCGAUUUACGUGAUUUUUGAACCAUAGCCGUAUUUCACCAUUCUAAACACAUCUUAUUUCACGAGAUUUUUGAUAAUUUUGCUUCCUAUAUAGAGUUGGUUUACAAAGUUGUAUAACCUACCAAACAAGUUAUACAACAUUAGUAGACACGUUGUGAUUCCGAUGACUAAAAUUCACAAACCAAAAUUCGACCGUCAGAUAU